This 72-nucleotide transfer RNA is filed under the name Uromyces viciae-fabae. Its description in RNAcentral is "tRNA-Ala (AGC) (tRNA-Ala-AGC-1-1, tRNA-Ala-AGC-1-2)". It matches the Rfam family "tRNA". From Rfam's summary of the family: Transfer RNA (tRNA) molecules are approximately 80 nucleotides in length. Their secondary structure includes four short double-helical elements and three loops (D, anti-codon, and T loops). Lineage: Eukaryota; Fungi; Basidiomycota; Pucciniomycetes; Pucciniales; Pucciniaceae. The record is from RNAcentral.
GGGGUUCUAGCUCAUCGGUAGAGCGCUUGCUUAGCAUGCAAGAGGUACUGGGUUCGAUUCCCAGGUACUCCA